This is a non-coding RNA of Drosophila virilis, 664 nucleotides long. The record is from RefSeq and is a predicted model, not a curated record. NCBI's taxonomy places the organism in Eukaryota, Metazoa, Arthropoda, Insecta, Diptera, Drosophilidae.
ACGAGGCUAUUAUCACGUACAUCAUGAGUAUGAACAUUGAUCCGAAAAAGAAGACACAGGAAAUAAUAUGCAGUGUGAAUCCAUUCUUGGCAAAUAAAUAUUAACAACAAUACAAAGGACGAUCAGCAGCGAAGAAAUGAAAGUCCACAGGAGUAGUUCCGGCCACAAGGAUGUAAUGACCAGAGCAGCCAUACCAAGGAUCCCGAACUCUAUCUAAAAUUGCAUUCCUGGCAAUUAACAAUUUCUAUAUACUUCAACUACUUACGGUUAGCGCAGUUAGAAUCCAAUUUAACCAAAUUUUGUUCAGCUGAUUAACAAGUAUCAAUGCCACUACCAAUAGUAUGCCUACUGUAAAGAAACAAUAGCUUAUCUCUGGUUUUGCGAAUACGUCACCGACAUUGGGCCUGCAGCAUGUAAGAUAUACUCAGUGAGAAACAGCUUCUGAUUACCUAAGGUAUCUUAACUUACAACAAGUUGAUAAUCAACCAUUGGACCAGCGCUAUCACCAGCCAGGUCAGGGAUAUCAAAUAAACGUAUAGUGCGAAUUUUAGACGGUCCCGACCAUACGAGGUCGUGCCUUCAUUCAUUGUCCCGCCAGCCUACGGCUCACUGUAUACUCAAAUAAAAAAUUUGUUCAUUCAUAACUGAUCAAACAGUACAAAAA